UUGACGGGGCCCGCACAAGCGGAGGAGCAUGUCGGUUUAAUUCGAUGAUACGCGAGGAACCUUACCUGGGCUCGAACGUAAGAUGACUGUAGGUGAAAGCUUACAUCUCUUCGGAGCAUUUUACGAGGUGCUGCAUGGUUGUCGUCAGCUCGUGCCGUGAGGUGUCGGGUUAAGUCCCAUAACGAGCGCAACCCCUACCUUUAGUUGCCAUCAGGUUAAGCUGGGGACUCUAAAGGAACUGCCUACGCAAGUAGUGAGGAAGCGGGGAUGACGUCAAAUCAGCACGGCCCUUACGUCCAGGGCUACACACGUGCUACAAUGGCCGAUACAGAGGGCAGCUACCUGGUGACAGGAUGCAAAUCUCCAAAGUCGGUCUCAGUUCGGAUCGGAGUCUGCAACCCGACUCCGUGAAGUUGGAUUCGCUAGUAAUCGCGCAUCAGCCAUGGCGCGGUGAAUACGUUCCCGGGCCUU
RNAcentral lists this ribosomal RNA (471 nucleotides) under uncultured Sphingobacteriales bacterium. Its description in RNAcentral is "bacterial SSU rRNA". It matches the Rfam family "Bacterial small subunit ribosomal RNA", at positions 910 to 1382 of the family's 1533-position model. The record is from RNAcentral. Lineage: Bacteria; Pseudomonadati; Bacteroidota; Sphingobacteriia; Sphingobacteriales.